UCUCCUGUAGUCCAGUGGUAGAGCGUCCGACCGCUGGGUGGAAGGUCAUAGGUUCAACCCCUGUUGGGGUAA
Non-coding RNA from Desmophyllum pertusum, 72 nucleotides. The record is from the annotation of a GenBank genome assembly. NCBI's taxonomy places the organism in Eukaryota, Metazoa, Cnidaria, Anthozoa, Scleractinia, Caryophylliidae.